This 375-nucleotide long non-coding RNA is filed under the name Equus caballus (horse). Its description in RNAcentral is "lncRNA (ENSECAG00000045271.1)". Lineage: Eukaryota; Metazoa; Chordata; Mammalia; Perissodactyla; Equidae. The record is from RNAcentral.
CUUGAAAGUAACAUUACCCAUCCUUUCAUAAAGGGAAGUGAGAACAACCUGCUGGGUAAAACCAAGAGUUGACUUUCUCAUGAGAUCCUUGGUGUUAUUAAGCUACAUUCACUCUACAGAACUUGGAAGAUGAUUCUAAAAUAUAUUUGUAACUACAAAGGGCCAAGAAUGGAGAAGACACAUAUAAAGAAGUAAAUGGCGAAAACACAUGCUCCAUCAGAUGUCAAUAUUUAUUAUACAUUGCAGCAAUUAAAACAGAGGUAAAUAAACAGCAUCUGUUCAUCUACUCAUCUAUUUAUACUUCAUUUUUCUCAAAGGAUUUGAGAGUCCAAGGGUAAAAGAAGUUUAAUCAGAAAAGGGUUUCCUGUGGAUGUG